AAUCCUCUAGGCCGAAUAUCCAAGGUUUCCAGGGUAAAGCUGAUCUGCCCUGGGUGAGUCGGGACCUAAGGUGAGGGCGAGAGCCGUAGCCGAUGGACAACAGGUUGAUAUUCCUGUACUGCAGUAUAACAGAACUGUGGGGACACGUAAGGAGAGCGGGAGCCGGGAAUGGAAAGCCCGGUACAAGCGAGGUACCAGUAUGGUAGGAAAAUCCGCCAUGCAAUGGGAAGACGUGAUGUGGAGUGAAAUAUAGUAACGAAGCCCGUGAGCCAUGCGUCAAGAAAAGCCGCUAUUGUUUAUAUUGUACCCGUACCGUAAACCGACACAGGUGGAUGAGGAGAGAAUCCUAAGGCCGGCGGAAGAAGCAUUGUUAAGGAAUUCGGCAAAAUGACCCCGUAACUUCGGGAGAAGGGGUGCCUGCGAGAGCAGGCCGCAGAGAAUAGGCUCAAGCAACUGUUUAGCAAAAACACAGGUCUAUGCGAAACCGAAAGGUGAGGUAUAUGGGCUGACGCCUGCCCGGUGCUGGAAGGUUAAGAGGAGAGGUUAGCGCAAGCGAAGCUUUGAAUUUAAGCCCCAGUAAACGGCGGCCGUAACUAUAACGGUCCUAAGGUAGCGAAAUUCCUUGUCGGGUAAGUUCCGACCCGCACGAAAGGCGUAAUGAUUUGAGCACUGUCUCGACAAUGCAUCCGGUGAAAUUGAAGUACCAGUGAAGAUGCUGGUUACCUGCGCCAGGACGGAAAGACCCCAUGGAGCUUUACUCCAGUCUGGUACUGGGACUCGGUAUUGCAUGUACAGGAUAGGUGGGAGGCUAGGAGAUGGUAACGCCAGUUGCCAUGGAGCCGCUGUUGGGAUACCACCCUUGCAGUAUUGGGUUUCUAACCAGCCGCCGUGACCCGGCGGUGGGACAAUGCCAGACGGGGAGUUUGACUGGGGCGGUCGCCUCCGAAAGGGUAUCGGAGGCGCCCAAAGGUUCCCUCAGAAUGGACGGAAACCAUUCGAAGAGUGCAAAGGCAGAAGGGAGCUUGACUGCGACACCGACGGGUGGAGCAGGUACGAAAGUAGGACUUAGUGAUCCGGUGGUAUAAAGUGGGAUUGCCAUCGCUCAACGGAUAAAAGCUACCCUGGGGAUAACAGGCUUAUCACUCCCAAGAGUUCACAUCGACGGAGUGGUUUGGCACCUCGAUGUCGGCUCAUCGCAUCCUGGGGCUGUAGCAGGUCCCAAGGGUUGGGCUGUUCGCCCAUUAAAGCGGUACGCGAGCUGGGUUCAGAACGUCGUGAGACAGUUCGGUCCCUAUCCGGCGUGGGCGUAGGAUAUUUGAGAGGAGCUGUCCUUAGUACGAGAGGACCGGGAUGGACGGACCACUGGUGUAUCUGUUGUCGACCAACGGCAUGGCAGAGUAGCCAAGUCUGGAAGGGAUAAACGCUGAAGGCAUCUAAGCGUGAAGCCCCCCUCAAGAUGAGAUAUCCCAUUCUUUAAGAAGUAAACCCCCUUGAAGACGACGAGGUAGAUAGGGCAGAGGUGGAAGUGCAGUAAUGCAUGGAGCUGACUGUUACUAAUCGGGUGAGGGCUUGACCAA
Molecule: ribosomal RNA, 1577 nt
Filed under: human gut metagenome
Description: bacterial LSU rRNA
Rfam family: Bacterial large subunit ribosomal RNA
Source: RNAcentral